CUGAUGCAUGGCUGAGGCAGGCAGUGAAGGCAGGGGACCAUCACCCCAGUGUCUGGCCUGAGCCUCCUCCAGGUCCCUCCACAGCUCUCCAUGAACUCCCCCUCCCUCAGGCAGAACCACUUCUUUCAGCAGGACAACAGCUAAAUCUCAGUUCUAUUUUUGUAUUAUUUAUGUUCCUGAAGAUUUUCAGAUGUUUUUACUGACGUUUGGAAGCUUCAUUUGGCAAAUAUUCCCUGUGCUUCAUUCAGCAUUUCUGUUAUCGCCUCCACCUCGCUGGGCCUCCGCCUUUCUCCCCCAAAACAUGGGAUGAAAGGAAAACUCAGUGUUAGCUCAAAAGCAAAGGAAAUUAGGGCUUGGGCAAGAGUUACCUGAUCAAUAUGCAGCACUAGCAGUGGCCAUAAUGACAAUAUUCAGGAGGCAUAAACCACGUGGACCCGUGGAGCUCCAGAGUGUGGCUGGAUGAUGCCACUGCAGCCCUGCAGCAGCACAGGCACAGUCCAGGAGAGGAACAAACAAAAGCAGCAGGGUUAAACAACCAAAGAGCCUCCACCAAACCGAGCUGCAGAUGCUGGAGGCACCCCAGGUCUGCCCCUGCCUGUGCUCUGCAGGGGGGACCACAACAGAAGCCCUCAUGCUGAAGAAGUCUGAUACAGGACUUGCUGCUCUCCCAAGGGGCUGCCAUGCCCACGGACACAGCUAAUGCCCUUCAAGAGGUCCCUAUAUAUAAAACCCCUACAUAUAAAGCCUAGCCAGAGGCACCAACAGGACAAAAAGAUGUGGAAGAAGCCUACUGUAAAGCCAGCUCGAGCUUCCUAAAGGGCAGCAGAGGGGUUAAAAGGUGUUCAGGGCCAGGGGAGAGAAACAGAUUUCAACAUGUUCACAGAGUUUCCUGGCUUGGCACUACUGCAUGAAGCUGCAAAUCAGUUUCCUGUCUCAUUAAGAAUCCCCUGCAUUUAAUUGCUCUGAGUGUCUGCUGUAGAGAUUGACUUAGAGGGAUGAGCUGAGUGGUGGCGGUUUGUUCUCAGCACCUCGGUUCAGAGGGUCUGUCCUACUUGUCAGUAGUAAAAGCCAGCUUGGCAAGGGUGCUGUAAGGAGUGUGUCACAAAGCUGGAGUGCUUGGAGCCUCCCACAUGGGAGAAGCUUCACACUUCUGAUUUAGCCAUAAAAUAAUCUUCUACCUGAUACUACUGAACUCGCAAACUGAAGAUGGUGCUUCUGGUUUUAGGUUGCCUGGGCUAAAUUCAGGUCUCAGCUACACAAGUCUGAAUCAGGCCAGAUGAACUGUUGUGCCCUGAGUAGGAGACACUCAUACAUUCGCCCAAGGAAGCAGUUGGAUAAUGCAGCAAUCACAUUCAGCCAAUGCCUGAGGGGUCUAAAUCCCAUCUGCUCUAAACCUGCCCCACGGACACCCUCUGCUGUGACUGUUUUACUCCAGCUUCAUCCACUACGCACAAACGGGGCAGUAACUUUGUUGUACACUAUUUUUGUAAGAAAACCAAAUGUAAGCAGCCUGUACUUACUGUAAUGAUGGGUAUUUAUUGGCUCCAGUAGCACGCAGCUUGUGAAUAAAGGUAUCCAGAGACUUUAGACAGCU
Long non-coding RNA from Strigops habroptila (Kakapo), 1594 nucleotides. The record is from Ensembl. Lineage: Eukaryota; Metazoa; Chordata; Aves; Psittaciformes; Psittacidae.